UCGGGUGGCGGACAGUGGCAGACGGGUGAGUAACGCGUGGGAACGUACCCUUUGGUUCGGGACAACUCUGGGAAACUGGAGCUAAUACCGGAUGUGCCCUUCGGGGGAAAGAUUUAUCGCCAAAGGAUCGGCCCGCGUCGGAUUAGUUUGUUGGUGGGGUAAUGGCCUACCAAGACUAUGAUCCGUAGCUGGUCUGAGAGGAUGAUCAGCCACACUGGGACUGAGACACGGCCCAGACUCC
This 241-nucleotide ribosomal RNA is filed under the name uncultured bacterium. RNAcentral's name for it is "partial 16S ribosomal RNA". It matches the Rfam family "Bacterial small subunit ribosomal RNA", at positions 80 to 339 of the family's 1533-position model. The record is from RNAcentral.